This 355-nucleotide ribosomal RNA is filed under the name uncultured bacterium. RNAcentral's name for it is "bacterial SSU rRNA". It matches the Rfam family "Bacterial small subunit ribosomal RNA", at positions 22 to 356 of the family's 1533-position model. The record is from RNAcentral.
GCUCAGGACGAACGCUGGCGGCGUGCUUAACACAUGCAAGUCGAACGAAGAUACUUAAAAUGAGAGCUUCGGCAGGAUUUUUAUUUAUCUUAGUGGCGGACGGGUGAGUAACGUGUGGGCAACCUGCCCUAUACUGGGGAAUAAUCACUGGAAACGGUGACUAAUACCGCAUGUCAUUACGGAAGGGCAUCCUUCUGUAAGAAAAGGAGUGAUUCGGUAUAGGAUGGGCCCGCAUCUGAUUAGCUAGUUGGUGAGAUAACAGCCCACCAAGGCGACGAUCAGUAGCCGACCUGAGAGGGUGAUCGGCCACAUUGGGACUGAGACACGGCCCAAACUCCUACGGGAGGCAGCAGUA